UGCCUUAGUAACGGCGAGUGAAGCGGCAAUAGCUCAAAUUUGAAAGCUGGCCCCUUCGGGGUCCGCGUUGUAAUUUGUAGAGGAUGAUUCGGCGAGGGCUCCCGUCUAAGUCCCCUGGAACGGGGCGUCAUAGAGGGUGAGAAUCCCGUAUGUGAUGGGUUGCCUUAGCCAUGUGAAUCUCCUUCGACGAGUCGAGUUGUUUGGGAAUGCAGCUCUAAAUGGGAGGUAAAUUUCUUCUAAAGCUAAAUACCGGCCAGAGACCGAUAGCGCACAAGUAGAGUGAUCGAAAGAUGAAAAGCACUUUGGAAAGAGAGUUAAAAAGUACGUGAAAUUGUUGAAAGGGAAGCGCUUGCAGCCAGACUUGUCCGCAGUUGCUCAGCCGGUCUCCUGACCGGCGUACUCUUCUGCGGCCAGGCCAGCAUCAGUUCGGGCGGUCGGAUAAAGGCCCCAGGAAUGUAGCUCCUCUCGGGGAGUGUUAUAGCCUGGGGUGGAAUGCGGCCAGCCUGGACUGAGGAUCUCGCUUCGGCUAGGAUGCUGGCGUAAUGGCUGUAAGCGGCCCGUCUUGAAACACGGACC
This 576-nucleotide ribosomal RNA is filed under the name Dothiorella moneti. RNAcentral describes it as "eukaryotic LSU rRNA". It matches the Rfam family "Eukaryotic large subunit ribosomal RNA", at positions 76 to 667 of the family's 3401-position model. The record is from RNAcentral. Lineage: Eukaryota; Fungi; Ascomycota; Dothideomycetes; Botryosphaeriales; Botryosphaeriaceae.